GGGCCUGUAGCUCAGCGGUAGAGCAGUGGACUUUUAAUCCAUUGGUCGUGGGUUCGAAUCCCACCGGGCUCACCA
This 75-nucleotide transfer RNA is filed under the name Chloroflexota bacterium. RNAcentral describes it as "tRNA-Lys". It matches the Rfam family "tRNA". From Rfam's summary of the family: Transfer RNA (tRNA) molecules are approximately 80 nucleotides in length. Lineage: Bacteria; Bacillati; Chloroflexota. The record is from RNAcentral. RNAcentral also lists the same sequence under 4 other names.